RNAcentral lists this ribosomal RNA (466 nucleotides) under uncultured bacterium. RNAcentral's name for it is "partial 16S ribosomal RNA". It matches the Rfam family "Bacterial small subunit ribosomal RNA", at positions 28 to 507 of the family's 1533-position model. The record is from RNAcentral.
GAUGAACGCUGGCGGCGUGCUUAACACAUGCAAGUCGAACGGAAAGGCUCCUGCCUGCAGGGGUACUCGAGUGGCGAACGGGUGAGUAACACGUGGGUGAUCUGCCCUGUACUUCGGGAUAAGCUUGGGAAACUGGGUCUAAUACCGGAUAUGACAAUCUCUUGGAUGGGGUUGUGGAAAGCUUUUGCGGUAUGGGAUGAGCUCGCGGCCUAUCAGCUUGUUGGUGGGGUAAUGGCCUACCAAGGCGUCGACGGGUAGCCGGCCUGAGAGGGUGUACGGCCACAUUGGGACUGAGAUACGGCCCAGACUCCUACGGGAGGCAGCAGUGGGGAAUAUUGCACAAUGGGCGCAAGCCUGAUGCAGCGACGCCGCGUGGGGGAUGACGGCCUUCGGGUUGUAAACUCCUUUCGCAAACGACGAAGCUUUUGUGACGGUAGGUUGAGAAGAAGCACCGGCUAACUACGUG